Phoenix dactylifera (date palm) is the source of this 499-nucleotide non-coding RNA. NCBI's taxonomy places the organism in Eukaryota, Viridiplantae, Streptophyta, Magnoliopsida, Arecales, Arecaceae. The record is from RefSeq and is a predicted model, not a curated record.
UGGAGAUGGUUCUGGAGUCGAGAAUUCUAAGUUACCACAUUUCUCUUCGAAUGAUUCAUGGGUGUUCUGUCCAAGUAGGGAUGGGUUGGCAGGAUGCUACCUGAAAUCCUGAAGUCCUGAAGCUGCUUCAUUAUCCUCAUCAACAUUGAGGGUGCCCAUCAAAUUAUAUUAUCUGUAUAUGAGUAAUUAUACGCUUUUAUCCUAAUGUUGUCUCUGAGAUUGAAUAUAGCAAUCUCUGCUACUUAAUGCUCAUAGGGAGGUAAAUGCUCUAUAUGCUCCUGUGCUUCUUCCCAGGUCGUUGACAAGGAGAUGGGCGUAAAGGAAAGUAAUUUCUCUAUUGUAUGGUAGUUUUUAAUGGCAUUGUAGAAUUCAGGUCACGUCUCUAUAAAUCGUUUAGAUUGUUUUUGGUAGAAUAAUUUAUGCCUGUAUGGUAUGCAAACUGAUCCAUUUCUAUAGUGGAAAUGAAGCGCAAACAAGCUGGACGACUUGCUGCUGUAUA